This 253-nucleotide ribosomal RNA is filed under the name uncultured bacterium. Its description in RNAcentral is "partial 16S ribosomal RNA". It matches the Rfam family "Bacterial small subunit ribosomal RNA", at positions 524 to 776 of the family's 1533-position model. The record is from RNAcentral.
UACGGAGGGUGCGAGCGUUGUCCGGAAUCACUGGGCGUAAAGGGCGCGUAGGCGGCUGGGGUAGUCCGUGGUGAAAGCUCGAGGCUCAACUUCGAGUCGGCCAUGGAUACUCCUCGGCUUGAGCACUGUAGAGGCAGGUGGAAUUCCGGGUGUAGCGGUGGAAUGCGUAGAGAUCCGGAAGAACACCGGUGGCGAAGGCGGCCUGCUGGGCAGUAGCUGACGCUGAGGCGCGACAGCGUGGGGAGCAAACAGG